RNAcentral lists this ribosomal RNA (408 nucleotides) under uncultured bacterium. RNAcentral describes it as "partial 16S ribosomal RNA". It matches the Rfam family "Bacterial small subunit ribosomal RNA", at positions 28 to 526 of the family's 1533-position model. The record is from RNAcentral.
GACGAACGCUGGCGGCGUGCUGAACACAUGCAAGUCGAACGAAGUGGCGAACGGGUGAGUAACGCGUAAUCAACCUGCCCUUCAGAGGGGGACAACAGUUGGAAACGACUGCUAAUACCGCAUACUGAAGGUGGGGAUUGCGUCUGCUUAGCUAGUGAAAGGGGUAACGGCCCACCAAGGCGAUGAUCAGUAACCUGUAGUAGAGAAUGGACGGCAACAUAGGGAAGGAGAAAGGGCCCCGACACCUACGGGAGGCAGCAGUAGGGAAUCUUCCGGAAUGGACGAAAGUCUGACGGAACAACGCCGGCUGCGUGAUGACGGCCUUCGGGUUGUAAAGCUAUGUUACUCGGGAAGCGGUACCGGAAUAGAAAGCCACGGCUAACUACGUGCCAGCAGCCGCGGUAAUUC